UNUGACUUGAGUGCAGAAGGGGAGAGUGGAAUUCCAUGUGUAGCGGUGAAAUGCGUAGAUAUAUGGAGGANCACCAGUGGCGAAAGCGGCUCUCUGGUCUGUCACUGACGCUGAGGCUCGAAAGCGUGGGUAGCGAACAGGAUUAGAUACCCUGGUAGUNCACGCCGUAAACGAUGAGUGCUAGGUGUUAGGCCCUUUCCGGGGCUUAGUGCCGGAGCUAACGCAAUAAGCACUCCGCCUGGGGAGUACGACCGCAAGGUUGAAACUCAAAGGAAUUGACGGGGGCCCGCACAAGCGGUGGAGCAUGUGGUUUAAUUCGAAGCAACGCGAAGAACCUUACCAGGUCUUGACAUCCCGAUGCUAUUCUUAGAGAUAGGAAGUUACUUCGGUACAUCGGAGACAGGUGGUGCAUGGUUGUCGUCAGCUCGUGUCGUGAGAUGUUGGGUUAAGUCCCGCAACGAGCGCAACCCUUAUUGUUAGUUGCCAUCAUUAAGUUGGGCACUCUAGCGAGACUGCCGGUAAUAAACCGGAGGAAGGUGGGGAUGACGUCAAAUCAUCAUGCCCCUUAUGACCUGGGCUACACACGUGCUACAAUGGUCGGUACAACGAGUCGCGAGCCGGUGACGGCAAGCUAAUCUCUGAAAGCCGAUCUCAGUUCGGAUUGGGGGCUGCAACUCGCCUCCAUGAAGUCGGAAUCGCUAGUAAUCGCGGAUCAGCACGCCGCGGUGAAUACGUUCCCGGGCCUUGUACACACCGCCCGUCACACCACGAGAGUUUGUGACACCCGAAGUCGGUGAGGUAAC
RNAcentral lists this ribosomal RNA (803 nucleotides) under uncultured bacterium. RNAcentral's name for it is "bacterial SSU rRNA". It matches the Rfam family "Bacterial small subunit ribosomal RNA", at positions 636 to 1439 of the family's 1533-position model. The record is from RNAcentral.